CCUACGGGAGGCAGCAGUGGGGAAUAUUGCGCAAUGGGCGAAAGCCUGACGCAGCGACGCCGCGUGAGGGAUGAAGGUUCUCGGAUCGUAAACCUCUGUCUGCAGGGGAGAAAUACUCUCCUGCUAAUCAGUGCUGUAUUGACGGUACCUUCAAAGGCAGCACCGGCUAACUCCGUGCCAGCAGCCGCGGUAGUACGGCGGGUGCGAGCGUUAAUCGGAAUUGCUGGGCGUAAAGGGCACGUAGCCUGUAUGACAAGUCAAGGGUGAAAUGCCACGGCUCAACCCGGGACCUGCCGUUGAAACUGGCAAACUUGAGUAUGUGAGAGGGCGGCGGAAUUCCUGGUGUAGGAGUGAAAUCCGUAGAUAUCAGGAGGAACACCAGUGGCGAAGGCGGCCGGCUGGCACAAAACUGACGCUGAGGUGCGAAAGCGUGGGUAGCAAACAGGAUUAGAUACCCUGGUAGUC
RNAcentral lists this ribosomal RNA (465 nucleotides) under uncultured bacterium. RNAcentral's name for it is "partial 16S ribosomal RNA". It matches the Rfam family "Bacterial small subunit ribosomal RNA", at positions 338 to 795 of the family's 1533-position model. The record is from RNAcentral.